GGCCUAACACAUGCAAGUCGAGCGCCCGUAGCAAUACGGGAGCGGCAGACGGGUGAGUAACACGUGGGAACGUGCCCUUUGGUUCGGAAUAACUCAGGGAAACUUGAGCUAAUACCGGAUAAGUCCGUAAGGAGAAAGAUUUAUCGCCGAAGGAGCGGCCCGCGUCCGAUUAGCUAGUUGGUGGGGUAAUGGCCCACCAAGGCUACGAUCGGUAGCUGGUCUGAGAGGAUGACCAGCCACACUGGGACUGAGACACGGCCCAGACUCCUACGGGAGGCAGCAGUGGGGAAUAUUGGACAAUGGGCGCAAGCCUGAUCCAGCCAUGCCGCGUGGGUUUGAAGGCCCUAGGGUUGUAAAGCCC
RNAcentral lists this ribosomal RNA (361 nucleotides) under uncultured organism. Its description in RNAcentral is "bacterial SSU rRNA". It matches the Rfam family "Bacterial small subunit ribosomal RNA", at positions 45 to 433 of the family's 1533-position model. The record is from RNAcentral.